GAUCCUGGCUCAGAAUCAACGCUGGCGGCGUGCCUCAAACAUGCAAGUCGUACGUGAAAGUCCUUCGGGAUGAGUAAAGUGGCGCACGGGUGAGUAACACGUGAGUUAUCUGCCUUUGGGUGGGGAAUACCAACCGGAAACGGUUGUUAAUACCGCAUAACGCUUGCGCUGUAAUGGCGUAUGUUAAAGCGGGGGAUCAGCAAUGACCUCGCGCCUGAAGAGGAGCUCGCGGCAGAUUAGGUAGUUGGUGAGGUAAUGGCUCACCAAGCCUGCGAUCUGUAACCGGCCUGAGAGGGCGGUCGGUCACACUGACACUGACAUACGGGUCAGACUCCUACGGGAGGCAGCAGUCGGGAAUUUUGGGCAAUGGGCGAAAGCCUGACCCAGCAACGCCGCGUGAAGGAUGAAGCAUUUCGGUGUGUAAACUUCGCAAGAAUAGGAAGAAUAAGUUUGAACAAAUAAUUCAAACGAUGACGGUACUAUUUAUAAGCUCCGGCUAACUUCGUGCCAGCAGCCGCGGUAAUACGAGGGGAGCAAGCGUUGUUCGGAUUUACUGGGCGUAAAGGGUGCGUAGGCGGCACCACAAGUCACUUGUGAAAUCUUUGGGCUUAACCCAAAGCGGCCAAGUGAUACUGUGGAGCUAGAGUGCAGAAGGGGCAACUGGAAUUCCCGGUGUAGCGGUGAAAUGCG
RNAcentral lists this ribosomal RNA (690 nucleotides) under uncultured Acidobacteriota bacterium. RNAcentral describes it as "bacterial SSU rRNA". It matches the Rfam family "Bacterial small subunit ribosomal RNA", at positions 15 to 690 of the family's 1533-position model. The record is from RNAcentral. Lineage: Bacteria; Pseudomonadati; Acidobacteriota.